CACGAUUCUUUGUUUCAGUUCGAAGACUGCACACUUCAAUGACAACCUUUUGUCGUUUCAGUUCAAGCUCGAUGUCUGUGAUCUCCCGCUCAACUGAACCAACGAUGCGUUCUUGGAGAUACAAGGUUCGUUACACAGACCACGGCAUCUAUGUUUACACUGUAGUAGUUUACGACACGGCUCGUCGCAGCGUGGCCUAUCGCAGAUUUCCCCACACUUCAUGCUACACUUCAAGUGCUUACACAUCCAUUCGCACUGAUGAGUACAAGGAACGCAAGGCUCACCGCAUUUCUUUCUGCAUUCACUGUGUUUGCACUUGGUUUCACACUUGUUCGUGCAUGGCGGACAAGUGAUGGUGCAGUUGGCGCGACACUCAUGGCCACAGACAAGCACUCUCCCACAUGUUUUCUUGCAUCGUCGAUGGACUCUUCCUUGCAGACACUCACCACAACUCCCUGAGCACUCAUGACCACAGCUAGGAUCGCCGCCACAAGGACCGCGACAGUCAAGAGGACUAGCUGAACAAGCUAUUGUAACUUCAUGUCCACAAGGCCAGUCGCUUCGCUUCACAAGCUCCUUACAUGAUGACGUGCAUGGUUCGCCACACCGUGCUUGGCAUCGAUGACCACAUUUGAGUAAUUUCGGGCAUCUUUCAUCACACUUCACAUGGUUGGGAUUGUCACUGCAUCGGGCAUUCUUCUUGACAUGGUUACACGGAAGAGUCAUCUCAACGCGAUAAAGACAUUUUGGCUCACAAUCUUGCCCACAAAUAUUGCGACAUAUGUGACCCUUUCUGCAGCCAUGUAUUAUCUUGCUACAAGGGAUGGCAUAGAAGCGUACAGGCAUGUCCACAGUCAAGUCGAUACGCACAGCGUAGUCUACAUCCUCCAUAUGGUACCUUUUCCUGGAAAUCCUCGGGAUCUUUCACCGCAACCUGGAAAACAAAGCCAUGGAAAUACGUUGUUUAGUAAAAAAAAAUACGAACCAAAGGCAGGAAUUAUUAGAUCAUUGACGUCUGACAUAUACAGCUAUUUCAAAAAAGAGGAAGUUCUUUUCCAAGUCUGCCAUUUUUCCUUACAUCACCAACAACCUUCUUCCAAAUUCCACUCUUCCCUGACAGCAGAUCAAAGUUCCCAAUGACGUACAGACCCAUACGAGCACGUGACAAAGCUACGCAUGCUCUGUUGAUGUCAUUGACGAAUCCCACGUGACCAGUGUCGUUGCUACGCACCAAGGAUAACAGGAUAAUGUCAUUCUCUUCUCCCUGGUAGUUGUCAAUGGUCGACAGGCGUAUCUAAAUUUAUGAGACGUGGAAAAAGACAUCGAGUGCUGAACCGUCGUAUGGCAGCGCGAAGCAUUUACGGCUACGCCGGAGAUUUCGACCCCGACACCGCUAUCCAAAGAUUUACAGACUGAUCAGGAAGCUCGACCGAAGCCUAAGGGAGAGGUUAGUCGGCCUCUAGACCGUAAAUGAGUAACCCCUUGCAAUGACCAGUAUGCCCAAUAUGACACUUGUUUCACUGAUGACUUUGUACGCAUGGACGCUCUCUUCCAUGUGGGACCCCUAUUUUGAGAAUUAGCCGUAACGUUAUUAGUGAAAACAUUCUAGAACCACUCUAACGGCUUAUUUCAUAUUUAGGCUAAAACAAAAUGUACCUCGUUUGUCUAUAUUGUGAGAACUGCUUGUAACGUUUCAAAUUAAGGAAUAUAAAACGCGCGCGCAUGUCU
Long non-coding RNA from Actinia tenebrosa (Australian red waratah sea anemone), 1728 nucleotides. RefSeq lists it as uncharacterized. The record is from RefSeq and is a predicted model, not a curated record. NCBI's taxonomy places the organism in Eukaryota, Metazoa, Cnidaria, Anthozoa, Actiniaria, Actiniidae.